This 416-nucleotide long non-coding RNA is filed under the name Lathyrus oleraceus (garden pea). RNAcentral describes it as "Pisum sativum (pea) long non-coding RNA (PSAT_LNC006100)". Lineage: Eukaryota; Viridiplantae; Streptophyta; Magnoliopsida; Fabales; Fabaceae. The record is from RNAcentral.
GUGGAGGAGGAUGGUAUGAUUUGAAAUGGAGGGUGGAGGUGAGGAAUAGGAUUUUGGCGAAGGAGGAAGAAGAUGUACAGGAAACAAAAGAGGGUCCUCCUUCAAUUUUCUUUUUUGUUUUCUUUUGUUAUUUUUUUGGAGAGAUAGAGACUUUGUCAGUGGAGUGGUGUAUCUUUUUUUUCUUGGAACGGAAGUGUGUGGAUUCCUUUUCUAUUCCCUUUUUUCCUACUGAGAGCUCGCGAGUGAAUCCUGCGAGUGGGGACCUUUUGUGUGUUAUUAGUGGAGAGAGUUAUUGAGGGAGAGGGUGUGUUUGGAUAAGGAUGGAAAAGAAACCGUUUUGGAUCCUCCUCUUAAUGACUGCCAUGUGGCCCUGGGAGAGAUAAGGUUCAGAUUUUUGUCCAGCAAAUAUCAGUGUG